GACGGCUGUAACUAUAACGGUCCUAAGGUAGCAAAUUUCCUUGUCGUCCUAAUAACGACCUGCAUGAAACAUAGAACGAUUCGAUAGCUGUCUUGCACACACAUCAUGGUAAAAUAUUCAUCAGUACAAAUAAUAUGCUGCCGAAGAUCAAGCACACUAAAGGACAAAAAGACCCUCUGAAGCUUUAUAGGGAUAAAACUUUGGCACCAAACCUUUAUAAAAUUGCUAUCACCUGCACAAAUACCUCUUAAAGAGGCUUGCUUGAGCCUAGGUGUCAGUUGGGAUUUAAGAUCAAGACCACUGUUUAAUUGGGGCGAUAACCUUAUCUAAGCCACCUAAGGUGAACAAAGCGAUACAAGGAUCCUUAACAUGCCCAACUAAUAAGUGCAAAGAUACAUGUUUCGCUUAAUGGCUCAACAAGUCCUUCCCAGUACUUAAAUGCUAUCUUAAUGAGCUUUAAAUUAAUCUACCAACACCAAGCUACUCUACGGAUAACAGGCUUAAUUUCCGAAAUACCCAAGGUCACAUUAUCAAUAUUCCAGCGCCUCGAUGUCGGCUUAUCAUCAUCCUAAAUUUGUAGCUAGAUUAUUGGGUGGGAGUGCUCAUCCCGUAAUAAGGUACGUGAGCUGGGUUCAAUACG
RNAcentral lists this ribosomal RNA (640 nucleotides) under Symbiodinium sp. E1. Its description in RNAcentral is "partial 23S ribosomal RNA". It matches the Rfam family "Bacterial large subunit ribosomal RNA", at positions 1929 to 2618 of the family's 2925-position model. Lineage: Eukaryota; Dinophyceae; Suessiales; Symbiodiniaceae. The record is from RNAcentral.